CUACGGGAGGCUGCAGUGAGGAAUUUUGCGCAAUGGGGGGAACCCUGACGCAGCAACGCCGCGUGAGUGAUGAAGGCUUUCGGGUCGUAAAGCUCUGUCAAGUGGGAAGAACCUAUGCAGUGUUAAUAUCACUGUGUACUGACUGUACCACUGAAGGAAGCACCGGCUAACUCCGUGCCAGCAGCCGCGGUAAUACGGGGGGUGCAAGCGUUAUUCGGAACAUUGGGCGUAAAGGGCACGUAGGCGGCUUGGUAAGUCAGAUGUGAAAGCCCGGGGCUUAACCCCGGAAGUGCAUUUGAUACUGUCAGGCUUGAGUAUGGGAGAGGGAAGUGGAAUUCCUGGUGUAGAGGUGAAAUUCGUAGAUAUCAGGAGGAACACCGGUGGCGAAGGCGACUUCCUGGACCAAUACUGACGCUGAGGUGCGAAGGCGUGGGUAGCAAACAGGAUUAGAUACCCCCGUAGUC
RNAcentral lists this ribosomal RNA (464 nucleotides) under uncultured bacterium. RNAcentral's name for it is "partial 16S ribosomal RNA". It matches the Rfam family "Bacterial small subunit ribosomal RNA", at positions 339 to 795 of the family's 1533-position model. The record is from RNAcentral.